Herpailurus yagouaroundi (jaguarundi) is the source of this 4920-nucleotide long non-coding RNA. RefSeq lists it as uncharacterized. The record is from RefSeq and is a predicted model, not a curated record. The transcript has 2 exons. NCBI's taxonomy places the organism in Eukaryota, Metazoa, Chordata, Mammalia, Carnivora, Felidae.
UGUCUCCUCCUACUCCUUCGGUGGUCCCCUCCAGUCUCAAGUGUAUGCUGAAGAACGAUUGUAACUCUAGUCGGAACUACCCCCAGUUCAAGAUUCACAUAUUCAACGACCUGCCAGACACCUCCACUUGGAUGUUUAAUAAGCAUUUCAAACAUCCCAUUGUCCCACUGAUCUCCUAAUCCCCAAGCCUGCCAUUUUUGGUAACUGACACCUCCCUCCCAGUGGCUCGGGUCAAAAACCUUUCGAUUUUUUUUCUUCAUUCUUCUCUUUCUUUCGUACCCCACAUUCAUCAGUGAUUAUGCUUACCUUUGCCUGAAAAUUACUUCGAGCACACGAGCUCUUCUUCCCACCUCCACUGCCACCCCCAAGCCAUUGCCAUCCCUUGCUUAGAAUAUUGCAGUCGCCUCCUUUUCAUCGGUCUCUACUUCCGUCCUUGUGCCUCUUUCAUUAGCCCUUGACGUACAAGCCUAUUAAAGUCAGAUCAUGUCACUCCUCGACUCCACCCUCUCCCCCAUUAUGACUUCCAUGCCAGAGUCCAAGCCCAGGUCCUUAUGGUGGUCAGCUGAAUAAUACUCCAUGGGAUGAACACACCACAGUUUGUUCGUUCACUUGUCUAUUGAUGGGUGCUUGGAUUGUUUCCACCUUUUGGAACGAAUGAUGCCGCCAUAAACAUCGGCAUGCCCGUAUCUGUUGAAGUCCCCGUUUCCAAUCCGUGCGGGUAUAUACCUGGGCAUGGAAUUGUUGGCUCAUACGGUAAUUCCACGCUUGACUUUUUGAGGAACUCCCAAACUGUUUUCCACGGCAGCUGCACCCUUGUGCACUCCCACCAACGGUGCACAAGCUUCCCGAUUUCUUCACGUCCUUGCCAACACGUGUUAUCUUUUGCUUUUUGGAGAGUAACUGCCUCUUGUUUUUCCUUGAGGGAGUCAACCGUCCUCCGGUCUUGGUGCCUUGCUCUUCCUGUUCCUUUUCCUUGGAACAUUCUCCCACCAAUAUGCGUGGCUUGCUCCCCCAUCUCCUUCAAGUCUUUGCUCAAAGGCCUUCACUAUUAAAAUUUCGCCUCCGUUACCAGAGUGCCCUAGCCACUUUCCCCUGCUGUAAUGUUUUUUUCCAGGCCCGGAAAGUUACAACUUUCUAACUUACAGGAUAAUUUACUAUUCCUAUACUACCUGCCCUCCCCCACGUUUGUCACUGCUCUACCCCAGUGCCGAGAACAGUGCCUGAUUCUUAAAGGAACUACUGCAAGAAAUAACCGUGAAAUUAAUGAGUGAUGUUAGAGCUGCGUCACCGUAAAGGGCGAGCUGGACUAAGCUAGGCGGAGAGGGAGAGGGGAAGGGAGAGGUUUUCUGUGUUGAGGGAACACAUGGGUUGCUAUGGAUCGGGCCUGCUUAAUGUCACGGAUGAGGGUCUUCUUGAGGCAGAGACCCCAUAGCUGUGGAGCACAUCACUGGAUUUUCUCUGCUCACUGUCCGUUAACACCUGUUUCCCCUGCAAGCACCGCAAUUUGCUUACAGGCUGACGAGCGACCACUAGAGUCUGCUGAGUUAUGACGAUGUGGAUGUCAACAGCCCAGCAUCCCCCAGCAGUCGCGUGAGAGGAGAAAGUCUGCCACCUGUGCCUGGAUAUAGGCGUAUACGAUUGUCAUCUCGACCCUACUGUUGUUACAGUUAUUUCAGUACUAAGUGCAGGAACUUCGAGCUCGAGGCUCUUACGUGGUGCUGCUGCCUCCUGCUGCUCCAGAGGGCUGGAAAGUCCCCUCCCCGUCUCGGUCAGCAAUGGGAUUUGUCCCGGACCACGGUGGUGCCUGCUCCGUGCCGUCCCCGUGCUCUCUCGGGGAACCUAGAGCAUCAGAGGAGAUGCAUGAAAUCAUGACAAUUUGCAUCACGGUUGGAGUAAAUCGAGGGGUGCUGGCGACGAGUGCUGGGAAGUAGUCCUCCUUUCUCUGACACCCUUCGCUUCCAGCUCCGCCAGGCAGCAGCUGGCUCGGGGACUCGGUCAGACUUCAAGGCAAGUAGAAAAAGAGGAAGAAAGGGAGGCGAGACAGAUCUUUCUGGUCUGUUUUCUAAGUCCAAACCCUCCUGGAGGGGCUUUCUGGGCCCUAAAGGUGCUGUGUGGGCUUCUGUAGAUGGAGAAGGAACGUUUCCUAUGGUGUCCCAAAGGCAGCCCUCUUCUUGGCCCCCCAACUUGCCCCGGGCAUCAGAGAACAUGGAUGGGAGCAUAGAAGCAAAUCUGAGUGAGUUAUUUUGCAGCAACUCACAGCCACCCCUACUUCUGGCCUGACCCAUUUUCUCCAACUACAAUGUGGCUCUAACAAUCCCUGCUCGGCUCUCCAUCUUGCCUAGAGGCUACUAGAGUUCAUUAGAUUAAAAAAAAAAAAAAUCUAUAAACUACUUUGAGCACCUUGGAGGUAAGUGCUCUAUAAGUACAAUGUAAUAAUAAUAAUGCUACAAUAAUUACCUUGAUUAAUUUAUGCAUAAGACAAAAAAAGAUUCUUAAUUAAGAGACAUUCCAACAGCGUGAACACAGGCCCCAUAUAUUGGAAAGUAAUACCACCAGCAGGGAUUCUAACUCUGGGCCAGAAUGACAAGGAUAAUGAGCCACUGACCCUCACUCUGAGCGUCCUCCGCAUGUUUUGGGUUCUUGGUGACGACUAUAGGCUCUGUGGCCAGCAGACUGGAAAGGCAGAAGAUGAAAGAGGGGAGUUUGGGUGUUAAAAUUACGUAAGACACAAGCUAACUUAACCUCAUCGCACUGCAAGUAAUUAAAAACCAAAGGUAAGCUAGUCAGUGGCAUCAGUAAAAUUCAUGUUUUUCUUUAGAUGUAGUCAAGAUUUAUGGAUCGCCUAUUGACUGGCCCUCCCUUCCCUAGAUGGCAGCUGACAUCUGUCCUGUGACACUCUCUCCUCUUCUAGUGUAACUUUCUGCAGUCUUCAAGGCCCUGUUGGGUGACAGAAGAAUUGAUUCUAGCUAAAGUGUUAAUGGCUAACAACAGCAGUGUUCCCCCUGGGUACUUACUCUGCGUUUGCACUGAAGUUUUCAAUGUUUUUAUUUGUAGAAACGACUAGACAUUAUGACCCUCGACUUAGGCUGCUGGGGAUAAAAGCGUUAGAGCAUGGAGUUCAUGGCGUCCUUCGAAUUAUAGGGCCAAGCCAUUUGGCACAGGAGGCCGUUCUACAGGUGGUGUUAGAGGCUGAGAGAUAGAAUGGGCCUACAGCUUUCUAUCAGCAGACCACAUUAGCCCGUGGCUCACGCUUGCCCCUCGUGUUUUCACAGCAAGUCUGUGAAAUGGAUCUUGAUUUCAGAACCAGAUCUUGAUUUCAGAAUCAAAUCCCCCCCAAUAUCUGCUCCAGGUCCUGUCUUUGAUCUACUGACAUCGUUACCUUGUGCUCACUCUCAGCUGGGAACCGUACCACUGCAUAUGAAUUAUCCCGGCCAGCAUGGAAGCUUAUCAUGAGACAAGCCCGCCCAGGUAUGCCUGGUUUUCUGCAGUGCGGUGUCGUGGAAAGAGCCAUCUACAAGUUGCAUCUUUGUAACCUGAGUUUUAUCUGCACGACUCAGAGAAGACAGCUAAAGGAACCCUUUGGUAUGCAGCGAGGAUGGAAAAGCACAUGAAUUAACACGCGGGUGUGCAAGAGCCAGGCACAGAGUCUGCUGGUGUGGAACAUACGCCUGGCGGAGAAAGCACCAUGGCCUGGGAACCAAGUCACCUGGACUCGUGUCCCACCUCUGACACUGACUGAGCCCUCUCUGGGCCUCUGCCAAAUAAAAGGGCAGCACGAUCAAUUUCUAGGUCUUAGUUCCCAUUCUGACAUUAUAGGACUCUAUGCAUAUCAUGUACCCCAAAUGGCCCUCACCCACACGAGAUGUAUGACCCUGCCUGAGGCAGUUUGCACGGAACAGAAAUCAGAACCGUAAGCCACAGAGCGGAAGCUCCAAUGGUAGGAUUUCCAGCGUUAUCAUUACGGGAAGAAUGGGGACAAUGUUGAGGACUGAGGGCGAGGUCUGCCAGGUCACAGGUGGUGCUUGAUCUACACAAGGUCAAGGUGUUCAGUCUGGGCCCAUGGGUACCAGCAAGCCCCCGGCACCCGGCUUGGGCUCCAGGUAUAAACUUAGGGGGUCUGUGGGCUCACUGUGGGCUGACUAUUUAGUUUUAAUGCCCAAAACCAAUUUUAAAUAAAAUAAAGGAACCCCCUAAAUAUUCUAGAUGGGGCUUUCUUUUUUUUAGAGGGACAUUUCAAGACUAGUUUCACACAGGUUUAGCCGAAAGGGAAAUUAAACUCUACAUUUAAAUGGGAGAUUACGCACAAAGGAAUCCAUUACUUUCAAUAUUUCUCAGCAGGAGGGCUCAGAGUUAUUUAAAUAAGUUUAGAUAUUAAACCUAAAGUAGCCAUUAAAGCAAUGUGGAUUUGUUUGUCUGUUUUUUUUUUUCCCCCAGAAAUCUUUUUUUCCAGCUGACUGAAAAAAUCCAUUGCUUAACCAAUGGAGGAUAUUUUAAUGCAUUAAAAAAAAAUCCAGGGACUUUUUAAUAUAGCACUUCCUUCGAAUUUUUAAGUAGCAUCUUACGGUAAGUGUCAUCCUUUGGACAGAUUAACCAAAGCGCAUUCCCUUCCCCGCCCCCACCCUGGGCAGAACAGCGCUAAUAUAAACACCGACAUUAAACCAUAUUGGCUAUGGAAGAGGCUUUGAUUGUCAUUGAGAUUAUUUUAAAAGUUAUUUAGGCCCCCCUGUUCCAUCUCUGCAAACCACUGAGAAAACGUUGCGCCGGGUUUCUCUUUGCGACAUUUCUUUGGGGAUUCAUAAAUAUUGAUUGUACCGUAAAAAAAUUGAUGGAAUCUUGAAACAGACUGCAGUUGAGGCAGCUGGGGAAUUUACUCAAUUUUUCUCAAUCGCUGCAGUCUAUAAAAAGAGGAGAUUUUGCAAA